RNAcentral lists this ribosomal RNA (497 nucleotides) under uncultured bacterium. RNAcentral describes it as "partial 16S ribosomal RNA". It matches the Rfam family "Bacterial small subunit ribosomal RNA", at positions 28 to 507 of the family's 1533-position model. The record is from RNAcentral.
GAUGAACGCUGGCGGCGUGCCUAAUACAUGCAAGUCGAGCGAACGGACGAGAAGCUUGCUUCUCUGAUGUUAGCGGCGGACGGGUGAGUAACACGUGGAUAACCUACCUAUAAGACUGGGAUAACUUCGGGAAACCGGAGCUAAUACCGGAUAAUAUUUUGAACCGCAUGGUUCAAAAGUGAAAGACGGUCUUGCUGUCACUUAUAGAUGGAUCCGCGCUGCAUUAGCUAGUUGGUAAGGUAACGGCUUACCAAGGCAACGAUGCAUAGCCGACCUGAGAGGGUGAUCGGCCACAAUGGAACUGAGACACGGUCCCGACUCCUACGGGAGGCAGCAGUAGGGAAUCUUCCGCAAUGGGCGAAAGCCUGACGGAGCAACGCCGCGUGAGUGAUGAAGGUCUUCGGAUCGUAAAACUCUGUUAUUAGGGAAGAACAUAUUUGUAAGUAACUGUGCACAUCUUGACGGUACCUAAUCAGAAAGCCACGGCUAACUACGUG